CCUACGGGUGGCAGCAGUGAGGAAUAUUGGUCAAUGGACGAGAGUCUGAACCAGCCAAGUAGCGUGAAGGAUGACUGCCCUAUGGGUUGUAAACUUCUUUUAUAUGGGAAUAAAAUGUUCCACGUGUGGGAUUUUGUAUGUACCAUAUGAAUAAGGAUCAGCUAACUCCGUGCCAGCAGCCGCGGUAAUACGGAGGAUCCGAGCGUUAUCCGGAUUUAUUGGGUUUAAAGGGAGCGUAGGUGGAUUGUUAAGUCAGUUGUGAAAGUUUGCGGCUCAACCGUAAAAUUGCAGUUGAAACUGGCAGUCUUGAGUACAGUAGAGGUGGGCGGAAUUCGUGGUGUAGCGGUGAAAUGCUUAGAUAUCACGAAGAACUCCGAUUGCGAAGGCAGUUCACUGGACUGCAACUGACACUGAGGCUCGAAAGUGUGGGUAUCAAACAGGAUUAGAUACCCUUGUAGUC
This 460-nucleotide ribosomal RNA is filed under the name uncultured bacterium. RNAcentral's name for it is "partial 16S ribosomal RNA". It matches the Rfam family "Bacterial small subunit ribosomal RNA", at positions 338 to 795 of the family's 1533-position model. The record is from RNAcentral.